UACGGAGGGUGCAAGCGUUAUCCGGAUUCACUGGGUUUAAAGGGUGCGUAGGCGGGCAGGUAAGUCAGUGGUGAAAUCCCCGAGCUUAACUUGGGAACUGCCGUUGAUACUAUCUGUCUUGAAUGUUGUGGAGGUGAGCGGAAUAUGUCAUGUAGCGGUGAAAUGCUUAGAUAUGACAUAGAACACCAAUUGCGAAGGCAGCUCGCUACACAAUUAUUGACUCUGAUGCACGAAAGCGUGGGGAUCAAACAGG
Molecule: ribosomal RNA, 253 nt
Filed under: uncultured bacterium
Lineage: Bacteria
Description: partial 16S ribosomal RNA
Rfam family: Bacterial small subunit ribosomal RNA
Source: RNAcentral